CAGCAGCCGCGGUAAUACGAAGGGGGCUAGCGUUGUUCGGAAUUACUGGGCGUAAAGCGCACGUAGGCGGAUAUUUAAGUCAGGGGUGAAAUCCCAGAGCUCAACUCUGGAACUGCCUUUGAUACUGGGUAUCUUGAGUAUGGAAGAGGUGAGUGGAAUUCCGAGUGUAGAGGUGAAAUUCGUAGAUAUUCGGAGGAACACCAGUGGCGAAGGCGGCUCACUGGUCCAUUACUGACGCUGAGGUGCGAAAGCGUGGGGAGCAAGCAGGAUUAGAUACCCCUGUAGUCCCUGUCUCUUAUAC
RNAcentral lists this ribosomal RNA (301 nucleotides) under uncultured bacterium. RNAcentral describes it as "partial 16S ribosomal RNA". It matches the Rfam family "Bacterial small subunit ribosomal RNA", at positions 509 to 807 of the family's 1533-position model. The record is from RNAcentral.